Long non-coding RNA from Cyclopterus lumpus (lumpfish), 1405 nucleotides. RefSeq lists it as uncharacterized. Lineage: Eukaryota; Metazoa; Chordata; Actinopteri; Perciformes; Cyclopteridae. The transcript is spliced from 3 exons. The record is from RefSeq and is a predicted model, not a curated record.
CCAGAGUAAAGCUCCGUCUUUGCGGCCAGCUCCUCCAGACACACAUCAGCACCCACGGGCAUCGACUUCGUGCACAUCUUCAGGAUGCAAAGACGGGCCUAGACACACAUGGGCCUGCGCAGUGCCGCGUCCAAGGCGUCCGGUCUGUUGGUGGCGCCGACGAUGAGGAAGCGAUCGGACCGUUCGAUCCCGUCCAUCAGUGUGAGGAGCUGAGCGACCAGGCGGUUCUCUGGUGCCGACGAGCCGGUUCUCCUCGGACACAGAGAGUCCAACUCAUCGAGGAACAAAACGCAGGGACCCUCUUCAGCUGCAGAGCGAGCGCGCUCGAACACGGCACGUAGCUUCUCCUCACUCUCACCCGGCCGUGGUCCCACCACCUGAAAUUAUUAUUCACAAUUACUAUCGAUAUUAAUAAGCUGUGUUUAUAUAAAACAUGCUGCUAAGAAGUGUUUCACAAAAAAGUCAAUGCGUUUUAUUUGUUUAAAAUAUUUCAUUGAAAUUAAUCUAUAUAUCAUUCCAAAAUGUACAACAUCAACAGGCCUCUGGCACAAGUCCUUAUAGCAUGUAUUGCAAAAACAAUACACAAAGUCACAUUAUUAUUUUUAAAAACCCAUUAUUUUAAAAACCCACUAUUUUGUCAUUUGCCCUCUAUCUGAGAAUAAAGUAUAUUCAUUGGAACAAUAUUCCAGGAUUUGUUAUUGGCCUGUUAACUCAUCAGUGAUGACUAGCAGUACUUUUGCUUGAAUAUUAUGUUCUCCUACUUUAUUUGUUGGAUUAUCUUUCCACAACUUCUCAAUUGAGUGUUCAGACAAUUUCCUAAUGAAUGUGGAUUUUGGCAACAUACUGCGAUUGAAAAUGUUGAACAAAAUAAAGUAAUGUAGACAGAUACGGCAUAUGAAAGGAUUUGAUCAAUACCUCUGGCCCUCUGACCACCACCAGGCUGGCUCCCACCUCCCCCACCACCCUGCGGACCAGCAGGGUCUUGCCCACACCUGGAGGCCCCACUAGGAGCACACCUCUGGGACACGACACGCCAAGAGAGCUCAGGGUGCCCGGGUAGAGCAGGGGCAGCUGCAGCAUCUCUCUCAGGGAGGCACUCACCUAAAAUAUAAUUUAAAAAAAAAUACAGGCAUCACGUUGUGGGAUUACACACUCUGGAUGAAUGAAUACUUGUAAUAUCAUUACUCUGACCUCCUCCAGUCCCCCCAUGGGGACCACUGGCUGGUCCUGCAGCUGACUCCUGUAAUGCCGGAGAGUCUGGACGCCAACUAUUUCCACGCACGUUUUGGAGGUUGAUCACAUGCUUCUUGUGGACAUGCACACCUUUCAGCGUGUCCUUCACCAGCUCGUGAAGGAGGCCAGGAGGUGUGCGUUUCUUAAAAUCAACACUCUGCACCACCACGGU